Molecule: non-coding RNA, 180 nt
Filed under: Heliobacteriaceae bacterium
Lineage: Bacteria; Bacillati; Bacillota; Clostridia; Eubacteriales; Heliobacteriaceae
Description: 6S RNA
Rfam family: 6S / SsrS RNA
About the family: E. coli 6S RNA was the first non coding RNA to be sequenced, but its function was unknown until recently. It consists of 184 nucleotides that fold into an extended hairpin structure with a large single-stranded internal bulge.
Source: RNAcentral
AUUGCUCUGUACGGGUGUUAAUUUUGUUCCUACAUUUUAUUAACAGGGAGAAUUGACUCUGACGGAUUUGAAGUAUACCCGCCAAAUAAUUUAUUUGCCAGCGGGAAACGGAGUAAUCCGGGGCGUUCACCCACCUGCGAGACCACGCAGGUAACAAAAUCGCAUCUGUACGGAGUUUUU